AGAUAUUUGCGGGGGGACUCCUUUGAGUUGAGAAGGUAAAACCUGACCCUUUGAACCUGUUAGUUAAGACUGGCGUAGGGAAGCAAAAUUUGUAUGAUU
RNAcentral lists this non-coding RNA (99 nucleotides) under Sporanaerobacter sp. PP17-6a. RNAcentral's name for it is "TPP riboswitch aptamer (THI element)". It matches the Rfam family "TPP riboswitch aptamer (THI element)". Rfam says of the family: Vitamin B(1) in its active form thiamin pyrophosphate (TPP) is an essential coenzyme that is synthesised by coupling of pyrimidine and thiazole moieties in bacteria. The previously detected thiamin-regulatory element, thi box was extended, resulting in a new, highly conserved RNA secondary structure, the THI element, which is widely distributed in eubacteria and also occurs in some archaea. Lineage: Bacteria; Bacillati; Bacillota; Tissierellia; Tissierellales; Sporanaerobacteraceae. RNAcentral also lists the same sequence under 1 other name. The record is from Rfam by way of RNAcentral.